CCUACGGGCGGCAGCAGUAGGGAAUCUUCCACAAUGGACGAAAGUCUGAUGGAGCAACGCCGCGUGUGUGAUGAAGGGUUUCGGCUCGUAAAACACUGUUGUAAGAGAAGAAUGACAUUGAGAGUAACUGUUCAGUUUGUGACGGUAUCUUACCAGAAAGGAACGGCUAAAUACGUGCCAGCAGCCGCGGUAAUACGUAUGUUCCAAGCGUUAUCCGGAUUUAGUGGGCGUAAAGCGGGAGCAGGCGGUGUGUUAAGUCCAACGUGAAAGCCCACAGCUUAACUUGGGAAGGGCUGUUGAAACGGGAUAGCUUGAGUGCAGUAGAUGAGAGUGGAACUCCAUGUGUAGCGGUGAAAUGCGUAGAUAUAUGGAAGAACACCGGUGGCGAAGGCAGCUCUCUGGACUGGAACUGACGUUGAGGCUCGAAAGUGUGGGUAGCAAACAGGAUUAGAUACCCCUGUAGUC
Molecule: ribosomal RNA, 465 nt
Filed under: uncultured Weissella sp.
Lineage: Bacteria; Bacillati; Bacillota; Bacilli; Lactobacillales; Lactobacillaceae
Description: bacterial SSU rRNA
Rfam family: Bacterial small subunit ribosomal RNA
Source: RNAcentral